GGACGGAUGGCUGAGUGGUUUAAGGCGGCGGUCUUGAAAACCGUUGUGCGUUAUGCGUACCGGGGGUUCGAAUCCCUCUCCGUCCGCCA
RNAcentral lists this transfer RNA (89 nucleotides) under Chloroflexota bacterium. RNAcentral describes it as "tRNA-Ser". It matches the Rfam family "tRNA". From Rfam's summary of the family: Transfer RNA (tRNA) molecules are approximately 80 nucleotides in length. The record is from RNAcentral. Lineage: Bacteria; Bacillati; Chloroflexota. RNAcentral also lists the same sequence under 1 other name.